UCCCUGGUAGUCCAGUGGUUAGGACUGUGAGCUUCCACUGCACCGGGCCUAGGUUUUAUCCUUGGUCAGAGAA
Molecule: non-coding RNA, 73 nt
Organism: Ovis aries (sheep)
Lineage: Eukaryota; Metazoa; Chordata; Mammalia; Artiodactyla; Bovidae
Source: Rfam